This 484-nucleotide ribosomal RNA is filed under the name uncultured bacterium. Its description in RNAcentral is "partial 16S ribosomal RNA". It matches the Rfam family "Bacterial small subunit ribosomal RNA", at positions 30 to 507 of the family's 1533-position model. The record is from RNAcentral.
AUUGAACGCUGGCGGCAGGCCUAACACAUGCAAGUCGAGCGGAUGAAGGGAGCUUGCUCCUGGAUUCAGCGGCGGACGGGUGAGUAAUGCCUAGGAAUCUGCCUGGUAGUGGGGGAUAACGUCCGGAAACGGGCGCUAAUACCGCAUACGUCCUGAGGGAGAAAGUGGGGGAUCUUCGGACCUCACGCUAUCAGAUGAGCCUAGGUCGGAUUAGCUAGUUGGUGGGGUAAAGGCCUACCAAGGCGACGAUCCGUAACUGGUCUGAGAGGAUGAUCAGUCACACUGGAACUGAGACACGGUCCAGACUCCUACGGGAGGCAGCAGUGGGGAAUAUUGGACAAUGGGCGAAAGCCUGAUCCAACCAUGCCGCGUGUGUGAAGAAGGUCUUCGGAUUGUAAAGCACUUUAAGUUGGGAGGAAGGGCAGUAAGUUAAUACCUUGCUGUUUUGACGGUACCAACAGAAUAAGCACCGGCUAACUUCGUG